CCCGCUCACCAAACCACAAGCGGUGCUCACGCCAAACUUUUCUCCUCCUGCAAAGCCCUAAAGACCAAGACUGAAGAAUUAACAGUUAGACACCGGAAAGGCAUUCAGAGCUUUUGUGGAGCAAAUCGCAUACAGUUGAACGGUCGUCUCGGGAUUUUCCAACUCUUUCUGACCGUUAAUUUUCUGGGAAAACGCUUUCUCAUAGAAAAGCUAAUCCUACAGUGUGUUCUGGGAUUCAUCUUCUUCACUAUUUUGCUGGUCUUAUAAGUGAUUGAGCCGUAAUUCUUUAUAUAUUAUGGAGAAUUUAAGCGUUACGGAUGCUAGAUUGGAGAAUUUUCAAGAAAGUGAUAAAUUGGAGGAUAAACUCCUUGAGGGUUUGGAAUCUUAUUUACAAGAUAUUAAUGAUCGGUUGACUAUUUCGAGGAUGGUGAGCGACUCUGUCAUAAAGGGCAUGGUUUCUGCAGUUAAACAAGAGGCAGAUGAGAAAAUUGUUCAGAAAGAAUUGGAGGUUGCUAGAUUGAAGGGUAUGCUACAUUUUUACCAUGUGGACGUGGAUGAAAAGGAAUUCUUGGGAUCUCCUUUGACAUGCCACAAGUCAAAAAGCUCAUGCCACCCCAGGACGUAUUAUAAAUUUUCAGACAAUUUUGUAGAGAAUGAUAGACUGAGAGAGUCUAUGGGAAGCCUUAGAAAUGUGGCUAAAUUUCAGUUCAAGAUGCUCAAGAAAGAGAUUGACCGAAUGAGAGGAUUUAGUUCCAUAAGAAGGAUUGGUUCGGGCUCCGAACAGCUGGGAUUGGGUGGUAUUCUUCAAGAUAAGGUAUCUGAAAGAGGGACUGAUGUCGAUGUAAUUCUUGAAGGUCUAAGAGCUACAAUAGACAAUGUCUACAUACAGGUGGAAGAUAUGUUUCAGUUGUCUAAGGUAUCACGCUGUGAAUGGCAGCAAGAGCGAGAGUUUCAGGCAGAAAUAGAAGGUAUGGUAAUUAAGAAUUGCAUUUGGAGUCUUCAAGAGGAGCUUGAAGAAAGAUUUUGGGAUCAAAAUGCUCGAUUUUGUGGUAAUGAAAGUGUAAAUUGGCUUGAAAAGAUCCAAGAGAUUUCAAGUUUGAGGCAGGAAUUGGAUGAAAUUUCUAAAUCACUGUCUGUUCAUGAAAUUGGGCAGCUAACUUCCCUUAUGUCCUUGGAGACUGGUGAGGAAUAUAAUAAUAACAAAAGGUCUGACCACUCCCACUGCAAAGUUUUAAGCAAUCAUGGUUCUGAUACAAAAAAUAAUACCCCAGAAAGUUCUGAUCCUGCCCAAUUAAAGCUCAUGUCAAAGGAUGAUUUGGUUUUUGAAAUGACCAAAAUGAGGAGAAAUCAUGAGUCUAAAGUGCAAGAGAUGACUGAAAAGUACUUUCUUCUCAAGCGGGAAUUUUUGAAGAUCAGAAAUGGGGGAUCAUCUUUGCCAUUAAAGAAGGAUAAAGAGUUUGACAUGUUAAAGACAAAAAUUCCCCAUUUCAUUUCUAGGUUGGAUGGCAUUCUUGUGGAAAAUGAGGCACUAAAUGCAUUCAGUGAAAAUGCUGACAAUAUUGGCAGUUUGAAGGACAGACUUGAAUCCCUUCUUUCAGAAAAUCGCCGCCUUAGAGAUUCACUUUCCAAUAAGAAAAAGGAAGUCAUGUGCCUCACAUCACAAGUUUCUGAUGCUGAAGAUAAAAUGUCAUACCGCCAUCUUAUCGAGGCAAAUUUGUUAGAUGCACAUAUUAAACAUUCAAUUAGCGAAGAUGUCUAUAAAUGUGCUCUUAGGGAGUUAAUGUGCCAAAUUAAAUGGGUCACUGAAGAGUCAGAUUUACAGUGUAACACCCUGCAGGAUAUUUAUAAAAUUAUUUUCAAUGAAGCGAUUCAUAGUGCUGAACUUUCAAGUGAGUAUGAAAUGGAAGACUCGGAUAUGGAGUCAAUUAUCACACAAGCAUUGUGUGGAAUUAUAUACAGAGAAGCAUUGAAGGAUGCUGAAGAGAAAGUCAGUUGCCUGAACACAAAAUAUGUUAGCGAGAAUAAAAAGAUACACUCUCUAGCAGCAUCACUAGAAGAGAAGUCGGAGUUAUUGCAGGAAACAAAGGCUGCAUUGGCAAAAGAGAAGGAGCAAUUUGAGUUAGCUUCUCAAGAGCUUGAUAAAUUAAGGGAUCUGACACAUCGACAGCAGAUGUUGUUUUCGGUGACAAGUAAAGAGUCCAAUGUCAUGAAGGGUAAUCUGGCCGAGGCAUUAGAGAAGAUCACACAAUAUAAGGCGAAGAUGCGUGAGUUAAAUCAGAAGCUUGAACUAGCAAUGGAAGAAUUGAGGGGAGCUGAUGAAGAGAGAAAGAUGCUCAAUGCCAUCAACCAAGAGAAGGAGAAGGCUUUAUCAUUGGUUGAAGUCAAAGAAAGGGAGAAUCAGAUGCAAAUGGAAUCGAUAAUUGUUCUUGUCCAGGGAUUGUUGAAAGCAGUUCUUGGUUUUGAAUGUAGAGUUACAGAAAAUAUAUCAAAUAUCAGUCUGAGAUUGGAAAAUUUGAUUUCUGAGUCGCAUUUGCUUAUCCCGAAGGCUAAUUUACUCCAAAGAACAGGGUUGUUGUACAAGCAGCGGCUUGAGAGGAGAUGUUCUGACCUUGAAAAGGCCGAAGUUGAGGUUGAUCUUUUGGGUGAUGAAGUUGAUGCUCUUUCAAGCCUUCUAGAAAAAAUAUACAUUGGACUUGAUCAUUAUUCACCAAUUUUGCAGCAUUAUCCUGGAGUAAGAUGAUUAUUGAGAUCCUGAAGCUGGUAAAAAGACAACUGAGUGGAGAAUCUACUAAAUCAGUUUGAUUUGUUCUUUCACUAGAUGCAAGGCCGCAUUAUUCAUUUUGAUCCUUGCUGCUGCAUCUGUAGAUACUGCAGGAUUUUCUUGGGAGUCAUUGGCAAACAUCAAUUACCGCUAUUACAACAGCUCAACGAUACGGCUAAAAUUUAAGCUGAAAAGAUCUAUACCUUCUUGGGAUGUCCAAUGAGUACUUUUACAGGAUAUUGGAAAGAUACGUAGAAGAGAUGCCACAUAGUUUUUUUCUUUUUGGGUGGGGGUGGAGGAUAAGUAACAUGGCACGUAAUUGCAGUAGUAUUGGCAGGGAAACUUGGAGAAGAACUUGAGUUUCGUUAUAGACUUGUCAAAAUAUUCUUUUAGGCCUUGGAGCAGCAUUUAUAGAAUGUUGCCUGAUAUCAGGUUACUAGAUUUAGGUCGUUUUGUUUAUAGUAACUGUUCUUUUGUUCCA
RNA transcript from Juglans microcarpa x Juglans regia, 3242 nucleotides. It is a transcript of the gene named WPP domain-associated protein, with no coding region annotated. NCBI's taxonomy places the organism in Eukaryota, Viridiplantae, Streptophyta, Magnoliopsida, Fagales, Juglandaceae. The record is from RefSeq and is a predicted model, not a curated record. The transcript has 6 exons.